GACGAACGCUGGCGGCGUGCUUAACACAUGCAAGUCGAACGCUGAAGCUUGGUGCUUGCACUGGGUGGAUGAGUGGCGAACGGGUGAGUAAUACGUGAGUAACCUGCCCUUGACUCUGGGAUAAGCCUGGGAAACUGGGUCUAAUACUGGAUACGACAUGUCACCGCAUGGUUGUGUGUGGAAAGGGUUUUACUGGUUUUGGAUGGGCUCACGGCCUAUCAGCUUGUUGGUGGGGUAAUGGCUCACCAAGGCUACGACGGGUAGCCGGCCUGAGAGGGUGACCGGCCACACUGGGACUGAGACACGGCCCAGACUCCUACGGGAGGCAGCAGUGGGGAAUAUUGCACAAUGGGCGAAAGCCUGAUGCAGCGACGCCGCGUGAGGGAUGACGGCUUUCGGGUUGUAAACCUCUUUCAGCACGGAAGAAGCGAAAGUGACGGUACGUGCAGAAGAAGCGCCGGCUAACUACGUG
Molecule: ribosomal RNA, 472 nt
Filed under: uncultured bacterium
Lineage: Bacteria
Description: partial 16S ribosomal RNA
Rfam family: Bacterial small subunit ribosomal RNA
Source: RNAcentral